GCCUUCGUGGUGUAGUGGUCAGCACACUGAGCCGGUAUUUCAGAGGUCCGCGGUUCGAUUCCCGGCGAAGGCA
This 73-nucleotide transfer RNA is filed under the name Stegodyphus mimosarum. It matches the Rfam family "tRNA". Rfam says of the family: Transfer RNA (tRNA) molecules are approximately 80 nucleotides in length. The record is from Rfam by way of RNAcentral. Lineage: Eukaryota; Metazoa; Arthropoda; Arachnida; Araneae; Eresidae.